RNAcentral lists this RNase P RNA (435 nucleotides) under Novosphingobium sp. PC22D. RNAcentral's name for it is "Bacterial RNase P class A". It matches the Rfam family "Bacterial RNase P class A". From Rfam's summary of the family: Ribonuclease P (RNase P) is a ubiquitous endoribonuclease, found in archaea, bacteria and eukarya as well as chloroplasts and mitochondria. Its best characterised activity is the generation of mature 5'-ends of tRNAs by cleaving the 5'-leader elements of precursor-tRNAs. Cellular RNase Ps are ribonucleoproteins. The record is from Rfam by way of RNAcentral. Lineage: Bacteria; Pseudomonadati; Pseudomonadota; Alphaproteobacteria; Sphingomonadales; Sphingomonadaceae.
CCGGGGAGCCGGGCAGCCGCGUCAUGCCGCAAGGCAUGCCGAGGAAAGUCCGGGCUCCACGAAACGAGGGUGGCGGGUAACGCCCGCCGGGCGAGUGGGCCGCGAGGUCCGCGAAGCUCAGGGAAAGUGCCACAGAAAGCAAACCGCCGAUGCCCGUUCGCGGGCAGGCAAGGGUGAAAGGGUGCGGCAAGAGCGCACCGCGCUCCCGGCAACGGCGAGCGGCACGGCAAACCCCACCCGGAGCAAGACCGAAUAGGGUCCGCGCGCCGAGGACUUAUGUUCCGAGGCAGGUCUGUUUCGGACCGAGGCGGACCGGGUUGGUCGCUGGAGCGGCGCAGCGAUGCGCCGCGUAAGAGGAAUGGCUGCCCAGGCGGGGCCGGUCGCAUCGCGAUACCGCUCGCCUGACAGAACCCGGCUUACAGGCUCCCCGGCAUG